RNAcentral lists this ribosomal RNA (253 nucleotides) under uncultured bacterium. RNAcentral describes it as "partial 16S ribosomal RNA". It matches the Rfam family "Bacterial small subunit ribosomal RNA", at positions 524 to 776 of the family's 1533-position model. The record is from RNAcentral.
UACGGAGGGUCCAAGCGUUAUCCGGAAUCAUUGGGUUUAAAGGGUCCGUAGGCGGAUAAUUAAGUCAGUAGUGAAAUCCCGCAGCUUAACUGUGGAACUGUUAUUGAUACUGGUUUUCUUGAAUAUAGUUGAAGUAGGCGGAAUGUGUAAUGUAGCGGUGAAAUGCUUAGAUAUUACACAGAACACCGAUUGCGAAGGCAGCUUACUAAGCUAUGAUUGACGCUGAGGUACGAAAGCGUGGGGAGCGAACAGG